RNAcentral lists this transfer RNA (69 nucleotides) under Marmota monax (woodchuck). RNAcentral describes it as "tRNA.Ala". It matches the Rfam family "tRNA", at positions 5 to 66 of the family's 71-position model. From Rfam's summary of the family: Transfer RNA (tRNA) molecules are approximately 80 nucleotides in length. Lineage: Eukaryota; Metazoa; Chordata; Mammalia; Rodentia; Sciuridae. The record is from RNAcentral.
GUGUGUGGUUCAGCGGUAGAGCACUCGCCUAGCAUGUGUGAGGCUCUGGGUUCGAUCCUCAGCACCACA